AAAGGUGAAAUUGUUGUAUUUUUUUAUAAGAGAGUUUUAUAAAAGAGGCUAGUAAGCCUUUAAAAUAAACUAGGAUUAGAUACCCUAUUAUAUAAAGGUUUAAUAAAAUAAUACUUGAUUAUUAAUAGAUAUUUACUUUAAAUUUAAAGAAUUUGGCGGUGGUUUAGUCUAGUCAGAGGAACCUGCUUUUUAAUCGAUAUGACACGUAGAUUUUUACUUAAGUUUGUAUACCAUCAUUGGCAGAUAAUUUUAUAAAAAAUAAAAUUAUUAAAAGUAAUUGUAUUAAUAAAAUUAGAUCAAGGUGCAGCUUAUAAGUAAGUUAAAGUGGGUUACAAUAAAAUUUAUUUAAACGAAAUGAAGUUCGGGAAGGAGGAUUUGAUUGUAAUAUAAAUUUAGUAAGUUUAGGAGAUAAUAGCUCUAAAUUGUGUACAUAUCGCCCGUCGCUUUC
RNAcentral lists this ribosomal RNA (448 nucleotides) under Platythelphusa armata. RNAcentral's name for it is "partial 12S small subunit ribosomal RNA". Lineage: Eukaryota; Metazoa; Arthropoda; Malacostraca; Decapoda; Platythelphusidae. The record is from RNAcentral.